AGUGAACGCUGGCGGUAGGCCUAACACAUGCCAGUCGAACGGCAGCACAGUAAGAGCUUGCUCUUACGGGUGGCGAGUGGCGGACGGGUGACGAAUACAUCGGAAUCUACUUUUUCGUGGGGGAUAACGUAGGGAAACUUACGCUAAUACCGCAUACGACCUACCGGUGAAAGCAGGGGAUCUUCGGACUUUGCGCGAUUGUAUUAGCCGAUGUCGGAUUAGCUAGUUGGCGGGGUAAAGGCACACCAAGGCGACGAUCCGUAGCUGGUCUGAGAGGAUGAUCAGCCACACUGGAACUGAGACACGGUCCAGACUCCUACGGGAGGCAGCAGUGGGGAAUAUUGGACAAUGGGCGCAAGCCUGAUCCAGCAAUACCGCGUGAGUGAAGAAGGCCUUCGGGUUGUAAAGCCCUUUUGUUGGGAAAGAAAAGCAGCAGGUUAAUACCCCGCUGUUCUGACGGUACCCAAAGAAUAAGCACCGGCUAACUUCGUG
Molecule: ribosomal RNA, 492 nt
Filed under: uncultured bacterium
Lineage: Bacteria
Description: partial 16S ribosomal RNA
Rfam family: Bacterial small subunit ribosomal RNA
Source: RNAcentral